GACGAACGCUGGCGGCGUGCCUAAUACAUGCAAGUAGAACGCUGAAGAGAGGAGCUUGCUCUUCUUGGAUGAGUUGCGAACGGGUGAGUAACGCGUAGGUAACCUGCCUUGUAGCGGGGGAUAACUAUUGGAAACGAUAGCUAAUACCGCAUAACAAUGGAUGACACAUGUCAUUUAUUUGAAAGGGGCAAUUGCUCCACUACAAGAUGGACCUGCGUUGUAUUAGCUAGUAGGUGAGGUAAUGGCUCACCUAGGCGACGAUACAUAGCCGACCUGAGAGGGUGAUCGGCCACACUGGGACUGAGACACGGCCCAGACUCCUACGGGAGGCAGCAGUAGGGAAUCUUCGGCAAUGGGGGCAACCCUGACCGAGCAACGCCGCGUGAGUGAAGAAGGUUUUCGGAUCGUAAAGCUCUGUUGUAAGUCAAGAACGGGUGUGAGAGUGGAAAGUUCACACUGUGACGGUAGCUUACCAGAAAGGGACGGCUAACUACGUGCCAGCAGCCGCGGUAAUACGUAGGUCCCGAGCGUUGUCCGGAUUUAUUGGGGCGUAAGCGAGCGCAGGCGGUUUGAUAAGUCUGAAAGUUAAGGCUGUGGCUCAACCAUAGUUCGCUUUGGAAACUGUCAAACUUGAGUGCAGAAGGGGAGAGUGGAAUUCCAUGUGUAGCGGUGAAAUGCGUAGAUAUAUGGAGGAACACCGGUGGCGAAAGCGGCUCUCUGGUCUGUAACUGACGCUGAGGCUCGAAAGCGUGGGGAGCGAACAGGAUUAGAUACCCUGGUAGUCCACGCCGUAAACGAUGAGUGCUAGGUGUUGGAUCCUUUCCGGGAUUCAGUGCCGCAGCUAACGCAUUAAGCACUCCGCCUGGGGAGUACGACCGCAAGGUUGAAACUCAAAGGAAUUGACGGGGGCCCGCACAAGCGGUGGAGCAUGUGGUUUAAUUCGAAGCAACGCGAAGAACCUUACCAGGUCUUGACAUCCCGAUGCUAUUUCUAGAGAUAGAAAGUUACUUCGGUACAUCGGUGACAGGUGGUGCAUGGUUGUCGUCAGCUCGUGUCGUGAGAUGUUGGGUUAAGUCCCGCAACGAGCGCAACCCCUAUUGUUAGUUGCCAUCAUUCAGUUGGGCACUCUAGCGAGACUGCCGGUAAUAAACCGGAGGAAGGUGGGGAUGACGUCAAAUCAUCAUGCCCCUUAUGACCUGGGCUACACGCGUGCUACAAUGGUUGGUACAACGAGUUGCGAGUCGGUGACGGCGAGCUAAUCUCUUAAAGCCAAUCUCAGUUCGGAUUGUAGGCUGCAACUCGCCUACAUGAAGUCGGAAUCGCUAGUAAUCGCGGAUCAGCACGCCGCGGUGAAUACGUUCCCGGGCCU
Molecule: ribosomal RNA, 1369 nt
Filed under: uncultured bacterium
Lineage: Bacteria
Description: bacterial SSU rRNA
Rfam family: Bacterial small subunit ribosomal RNA
Source: RNAcentral